Molecule: ribosomal RNA, 853 nt
Filed under: Enterococcus casseliflavus
Lineage: Bacteria; Bacillati; Bacillota; Bacilli; Lactobacillales; Enterococcaceae
Description: bacterial SSU rRNA
Rfam family: Bacterial small subunit ribosomal RNA
Source: RNAcentral
GCCUAAUACAUGCAAGUCGAACGCUUUUUCUUUCACCGGAGCUUGCUCCACCGAAAGAAAAAGAGUGGCGAACGGGUGAGUAACACGUGGGUAACCUGCCCAUCAGAAGGGGAUAACACUUGGAAACAGGUGCUAAUACCGUAUAACACUAUUUUCCGCAUGGAAGAAAGUUGAAAGGCGCUUUUGCGUCACUGAUGGAUGGACCCGCGGUGCAUUAGCUAGUUGGUGAGGUAACGGCUCACCAAGGCAACGAUGCAUAGCCGACCUGAGAGGGUGAUCGGCCACACUGGGACUGAGACACGGCCCAGACUCCUACGGGAGGCAGCAGUAGGGAAUCUUCGGCAAUGGACGAAAGUCUGACCGAGCAACGCCGCGUGAGUGAAGAAGGUUUUCGGAUCGUAAAACUCUGUUGUUAGAGAAGAACAAGGAUGAGAGUAAAAUGUUCAUCCCUUGACGGUAUCUAACCAGAAAGCCACGGCUAACUACGUGCCAGCAGCCGCGGUAAUACGUAGGUGGCAAGCGUUGUCCGGAUUUAUUGGGCGUAAAGCGAGCGCAGGCGGUUUCUUAAGUCUGAUGUGAAAGCCCCCGGCUCAACCGGGGAGGGUCAUUGGAAACUGGGAGACUUGAGUGCAGAAGAGGAGAGUGGAAUUCCAUGUGUAGCGGUGAAAUGCGUAGAUAUAUGGAGGAACACCAGUGGCGAAGGCGGCUCUCUGGUCUGUAACUGACGCUGAGGCUCGAAAGCGUGGGGAGCGAACAGGAUUAGAUACCCUGGUAGUCCACGCCGUAAACGAUGAGUGCUAAGUGUUGGAGGGUUUCCGCCCUUCAGUGCUGCAGCAAACGCAUAAGCACUCCG